RNAcentral lists this ribosomal RNA (748 nucleotides) under Acinetobacter baumannii OIFC137. Its description in RNAcentral is "bacterial SSU rRNA". It matches the Rfam family "Bacterial small subunit ribosomal RNA", at positions 28 to 771 of the family's 1533-position model. Lineage: Bacteria; Pseudomonadati; Pseudomonadota; Gammaproteobacteria; Moraxellales; Moraxellaceae. The record is from RNAcentral.
AUUGAACGCUGGCGGCAGGCUUAACACAUGCAAGUCGAGCGGGGGAAGGUAGCUUGCUACCGGACCUAGCGGCGGACGGGUGAGUAAUGCUUAGGAAUCUGCCUAUUAGUGGGGGACAACAUCUCGAAAGGGAUGCUAAUACCGCAUACGUCCUACGGGAGAAAGCAGGGGAUCUUCGGACCUUGCGCUAAUAGAUGAGCCUAAGUCGGAUUAGCUAGUUGGUGGGGUAAAGGCCUACCAAGGCGACGAUCUGUAGCGGGUCUGAGAGGAUGAUCCGCCACACUGGGACUGAGACACGGCCCAGACUCCUACGGGAGGCAGCAGUGGGGAAUAUUGGACAAUGGGGGGAACCCUGAUCCAGCCAUGCCGCGUGUGUGAAGAAGGCCUUAUGGUUGUAAAGCACUUUAAGCGAGGAGGAGGCUACUUUAGUUAAUACCUAGAGAUAGUGGACGUUACUCGCAGAAUAAGCACCGGCUAACUCUGUGCCAGCAGCCGCGGUAAUACAGAGGGUGCGAGCGUUAAUCGGAUUUACUGGGCGUAAAGCGUGCGUAGGCGGCUUAUUAAGUCGGAUGUGAAAUCCCCGAGCUUAACUUGGGAAUUGCAUUCGAUACUGGUGAGCUAGAGUAUGGGAGAGGAUGGUAGAAUUCCAGGUGUAGCGGUGAAAUGCGUAGAGAUCUGGAGGAAUACCGAUGGCGAACGCAGCCAUCUGGCCUAAUACUGACGCUGAGUACGAAAGCAUGGGGAGCAA